This is a long non-coding RNA of Nothoprocta perdicaria, 214 nucleotides long. RefSeq lists it as uncharacterized. The transcript has 2 exons. Lineage: Eukaryota; Metazoa; Chordata; Aves; Tinamiformes; Tinamidae. The record is from RefSeq and is a predicted model, not a curated record.
AGAAUCUUUCAGCAAGUUGAGAAGAGGAGCGGUUGGAGUGCUGACAAAAGGUGAAAGCUUGGUUUCUGAAGCCUUCAGAAGAAGCUGCCUGCUUCAAACCAGGCAUGAGGAAGAUGCAAGCACAUCUACACGAAAUACAUGCCCAGCCAUAACGGUUUGUUUUCAGACUGUAAUAGAAGUGAUGCUGUUUUAGUAAAAUAAAAAAAGAAAUGGA